GAUUCAGCGGCGGACGGGUGAGUAAUGCCUAGGAAUCUGCCCGAUAGUGGGGGACAACGUUUCGAAAGGAACGCUAAUACCGCAUACGUCCUACGGGAGAAAGUGGGGGAUCUUCGGACCUCACGCUAUCGGAUGAGCCUAGGUCGGAUUAGCUAGUUGGUGAGGUAAUGGCUCACCAAGGCGACGAUCCGUAACUGGUUUGAGAGGAUGAUCAGUCACACUGGAACUGAGACACGGUCCAGACUCCUACGGGAGGCAGCAGUGGGGAAUAUUGGACAAUGGGCGAAAGCCUGAUCCAGCCAUACCGCGUGUGUGAAGAAGGUCUUCGGAUUGUAAACUUACUUCAUUUUGGAGGAAGGGCAGUAAGUUAAUUACCUUUCUGUUUUGCGUACAAAAAGAAAAGUAUACCUCGUAAAAUU
RNAcentral lists this ribosomal RNA (419 nucleotides) under uncultured Pseudomonas sp. RNAcentral's name for it is "bacterial SSU rRNA". It matches the Rfam family "Bacterial small subunit ribosomal RNA", at positions 89 to 502 of the family's 1533-position model. The record is from RNAcentral. Lineage: Bacteria; Pseudomonadati; Pseudomonadota; Gammaproteobacteria; Pseudomonadales; Pseudomonadaceae.